CAUGCCGGUGUUGUUACUCUUACUGGUGCCGGUGGAUAUAUCAGUGGGCAUCAGCUUGCUGCCACUACUCGCCAUCGAAGUAUUAUUUUCAUGAGAGCCAGAAGCAGACAAUAGCGAUGACGAUGUUGCUUGCUGUUUCAGCUGUGACUGAUUCCCAACUUGUUGCUGAGCCGGUAGCGGCGAUGGUUUCUGCCUGACGGUUUCGCGCUUCCAAUUUGCCCUGCCAGCUGUAGUGUUGAGAGUCUUGCUCCAGAUAAUCUUCACUCCUCCCGCAGCCGCAGCGAGUUUCUGAAUCUGCCCGCCAGUCGUGGCAUCAUCGAGCGUUUUGAAGAACUCUUCCGCCAUUUUUACUUUCUUCUCGUCGAACUCUUUCUUUUUAGCUGCAAGGGCCUUUUUCGCAGCUGCAGCUGCGGCGGCUGAAGCCUUUUUCGAAGGGGAACUUUUAAUUGGGCUUUUCGACGGCGAUGACUGUGGUGAGAUGGAAUUUCUAUGUGAUCUCCCUGGGACGUCAUUAAUAUCAUCAUCUUCGUCAUCUGAGUAUAUGCGGAAUCUCUCAAGGCCUCUGCGCGGGGUGUUCAUUUUCCUGGGGGAGUACUGGUCGUUCCAUUCGUUGAUUAUCUCCUGGCUCCAGAAAGCGUCUAUGCUUGGUCGAUGCGGGGUAGGUGGGAUGCGAGACUUGCUUUUGGAGGGAGAGUAUAGACGAGGUUUUGAAGGGCUGGAUGGCGGAGUGACGAUGCUCACUGUCUGUUCUGGCCCUCCUGACCUGGAAAGGGAUGAAGGUUGAGAAUCAGGCUGAGGGCUACAUAUAAAGAAUUCUCUUCAAUUGCUUGCCGUCAAAAGAAGGAGCAAGGAUGAGAAAAGAAAGCAGCAACUUACCCUUCCAUCUUGUCUUCAGAAGCUUUGUGGUUGACGACCCUAUUUCUCUUCGGUGAGCUUCCCCGUUUCGAAGCAGGCAUCGAUGAAAGAGGUUUCAGAUCGAAUUUCUUCGGCAACGAUGGAAUCAUCUCCUUCUCAUUAUCAGUAUCGUCAUCGCCAUCAUCGCCAUCAUCAUCACUACUGCCGUCAAACAAAGAGCGUUGAGUUGUCCUGUUGGGUCCCGACUUCAAAUUAUUCACUGCCAGGCCUGAAUUCACAUCACCACCACCACUAGUAGUAGCCUUUGUGUUAUUUCCCCCCCACAAGACCUUCGGUGUUGCUAUUGCUGUUGCUCUGGUUGUUGGCCUUAAGCCCCUGAACAGUUUCCUGGGCGAUGAACGGGGUUUAAGGAGUACUUCAUCCUUCUCUCCACUGCUUCCGCUCAGACAAGACUCAUCGAAAUAGCUAAUAUCCUCAUCAUCCCCGACGAUGAAAUCAUCCAACG
Molecule: small RNA, 1360 nt
Filed under: Histoplasma capsulatum
Lineage: Eukaryota; Fungi; Ascomycota; Eurotiomycetes; Onygenales; Ajellomycetaceae
Also listed under: 1 other name
Description: hypothetical RNA
Source: RNAcentral